GCUGGCGGCGUGGCUAAGACAUGCAAGUCGAACGGACCAUUAAUUCAUUAGUGGUUAGUGGCGAAAGGGUUAGUAACAGGUGGGUAACGUACCCUGUGCUUCGGGAUAGCGUCAGUUACUUCGGUAACUUUCCGAAAGGGGCAUUAAUACCGAAUUAAAUCAUAAGUCGAUAGGCUUAUGAUCAAAGAUUUAUCGGCAUAGGAGCGGCCUGCCUCCUAUCAGCUUGUUGGUGAGGUAAUGGCUCACCAAGGCAUCGACGGGUAGCGGGACUGAGAGGUUGACCCGCAACAUCGGGACUGAGACACUGCCCGGACCUCCACGGAGGGCUGCAGUAACGAAUAUUGUGCAAUGGGCGAAAGCCUGACACAGCGACGCCGCGUGUAGGAGGAAGUCCCUCGGGAUGUAAACUACUGUCAGGGGGAAGAAAGUGUGCUUCGGCACAUUGAUCUAACCCAGAGGAAGUCACGGCUAACUUCGUGCCAGCAGCCGCGGUAAGACGAAGGUGGCUAGCGUUGUUCGGUAUCACUGGGCUUAAAGCGUGUGUAGGCGGAAAAGUAAGCGUUUUGUGAAAGCCCCCGGCUUAACCGGGGAAUUGCGUGACGAACUGCUUUUCUUGA
Molecule: ribosomal RNA, 617 nt
Filed under: uncultured bacterium
Lineage: Bacteria
Description: bacterial SSU rRNA
Rfam family: Bacterial small subunit ribosomal RNA
Source: RNAcentral